GCCAGGGGAAUGAGUCAGUCCAGGCUCUGGCUGGAGAGAACCUUCCCUCCACUCUUCCUUCUUCAACCAGCCCCCAGGAGCUGUAAUUCCUUCCCAGGAGGACUCUGAGCUUUCUCACAGAGGCUGUAAUUGGAAGAUUCAUCGACAUGGGCUGUUUUAAGCAUGGAGACUGCAGAUGUGAACGGAGACCUAAAGGAUAUGUGGCUUCCAGUCUUGUGCCUUCAUGGGAUUCUUGCUUGUGUGCUGGAAUUCCCGUGUGCACUGUUGCUGGAAGUGCAGGGUAGAACUGACUGGACAUCUGCCCGUGAAGGACAGAGAUGCUCAGAAGCAUGAUGGCAGGAUCUCAGCAAACAUGGUCCACUCACCGAAGAAGCUUGCAGAUGCUACGGUUACUGCUGAGGUCAUCCCUUUGUAGCUUCCAGCUCUUCAGAGCGCUCCAGUGAAAGACCACAGAUGGGAAUUUCCCAUGAUCCCCGUUUCAGUAACAAAACAGAGGUAUAUUAAAAAUCCCUCAGGGAUCCCUACAAC
This 528-nucleotide long non-coding RNA is filed under the name Rattus norvegicus (Norway rat). Its description in RNAcentral is "long non-coding RNA NONRATT012607". The record is from RNAcentral. Lineage: Eukaryota; Metazoa; Chordata; Mammalia; Rodentia; Muridae.